UACGUAGGGGGCUAGCGUUGUCCGGAAUCAUUGGGCGUAAAGCGCAUGUAGGCGGUCCGGUAAGUCCGCUGUGAAAGUCGGGGGCUCAACCCUCGAAUGCCGGUGGAUACUGUCGGGCUAGAGUGCGGAAGAGGCGAGUGGAAUUCCUGGUGUAGCGGUGAAAUGCGCAGAUAUCAGGAGGAACACCAAUUGCGAAGGCAGCUCGCUGGGACGUAACUGACGCUGAGACGCGAAAGCGUGGGGAGCAAACAGG
Molecule: ribosomal RNA, 253 nt
Filed under: uncultured bacterium
Lineage: Bacteria
Description: partial 16S ribosomal RNA
Rfam family: Bacterial small subunit ribosomal RNA
Source: RNAcentral